Molecule: ribosomal RNA, 2948 nt
Filed under: Bdellovibrio bacteriovorus
Lineage: Bacteria; Pseudomonadati; Bdellovibrionota; Bdellovibrionia; Bdellovibrionales; Pseudobdellovibrionaceae
Description: bacterial LSU rRNA
Rfam family: Bacterial large subunit ribosomal RNA
Source: RNAcentral
UUUUUUAAGCUACAAAGGGCUUACGGUGGAUGCCUUGGCACUAAGAAGCGAUGAAGGACGUGGUAAGCUGCGAUAAGCUUCGGGGAGUGGCACACACACUUUGAUCCGGAGAUGUCCGAAUGAGGAAACUCACCAUUUAUGGUAUCUUUCACUGAAUACAUAGGUGUAAGAAGCGAACGAGGGGAAGUGAAACAUCUCAGUACCCUCAGGAAGAGAAAUCAAAUCCGAGAUUACCCUAGUAGUGGCGAGCGAACGGGUAACAGCCUAAACCUUGUUCAUUAAUUUGAAUAAGGGGUCGUGGGACCGCAAUGUGGGACCGGAGAAGUUAGAAGAACAGUCUGGAAAGUCUGGCGAAACAGGGUGAUAGCCCCGUAAUUGAAAACUUCAAUGGCCCUAGCGGCAUCCCGAGUACCACGAGACACGUGAAAUCUCGUGGGAAUCCAGGAGGACCACCUCCUAAGGCUAAAUAUUCCUUAGUGACCGAUAGAGGACAAGUACCGUGAGGGAAAGGUGAAAAGAACCCCGAGAGGGGAGUGAAAUAGAACCUGAAACCGUAAGUCUACAAGCAGUUAGAGCCCUUUAUAUGGGCGAUAGCGUACCUUUUGCAUAAUGAGUCAGCGAGUUAUGUUUGCAUGCGAGGUUAAGCCGUUGCAGGUGGAGCCGUAGCGAAAGCGAGUCUGAAUAGGGCGAUUUAGUAUGCAGGCAUAGACCCGAAACCCGGUGAUCUAAUCAUGGACAGGUUGAAGCGAGGGUAACACCUCGUGGAGGACCGAACAAGUUGAGGUUGAAAACUCUUUUGAUGAUCUGUGAUUAGGGGUGAAAGGCCAAUCAAACUGGGUGAUAGCUGGUUCUCCCCGAAAUAUAUUUAGGUAUAGCGUUGAGUAAAAAGUAUCGUGGAGGUAGAGCACUGAAUGGGCUAGGGGUCUUUACCGGAUUACCAAACCCAAAUAAACUCCGAAUGCCACAGAUAUGUUCCUCAGCAGGCAGACUCAGGGUGAUAAGGUCAUGAGUCGAGAGGGAAAGAGCCCAGACCAACAGCUAAGGUCCCUAAAUGCACGCUCAGUGGAGAACGUUGUGGAGUUACUUUGACAACUAGGAGGUUGGCUUAGAAGCAGCAAUCCUUUAAAGAAAGCGUAAUAGCUCACUAGUCUAGUGACUCUGCGCGGAAGAUACAACGGGGCUAAGCGUGUUACCGAAGCUUUGGAUUAAGAUAUUUUAUAUUUUAGUGGUAGGGGAGCGUUCUAGUGUAGGAUGAAGGUUGACCGGUAGGACAGCUGGACGAACUAGAAGUGAUCAUGCUGACAUAAGUAGCGUUGAACUCGGGUGAAAAACCCGGGCGCCGAAAACUCAAGGAUUCCUGGGCAAGGAUAAUCCUCCCAGGGUUAGUCGAGUCCUAAGACGAGGCCAAAUGGCGUAGUCGAUGGCAAAACGGUUAAUAUUCCGUUACCUAGCUAAGUGUGUUUAAGGAAUGACGGUGUAGGAUAUCACAGCCUCUUAUUGGAUUGAGGUGUAAGCAUGUAGGAGGAUCAGUAGGCAAAUCCGCUGGUCGUAACUCUGAGGUGUGAAUGCGAGGGACUUUGUCCCGGAAGUGUGAAAAGCCAUGCAUCCAAGAAAAGUUUCGUAAAUUUAGCUUAGUUAGCUCGUACCGUAAACCGACUCAGGUGAGUGGGGUGAAUAUCCUAAGGCGAUGGGGUGAAUUUUGGUUAAGGAACUCGGCAACUUAACACCGUAACUUCGGGAAAAGGUGUGCCUGAGAGAGUGUAAGGACUUGCUCCCCAAGCUUUUUCAGGUCGCAGAGAAAUGGGAGUAGCGACUGUUUAUCAAAAACACAGGUAUGUGCAAAGUCACAAGACGACGUAUACAUACUGACGCCUGCCCGGUGCUGGAAGGUUAAAAGGAUUAGUUAGCGUAAGCGAAGCUGAGAAUUGAAGCCCCAGUAAACGGCGGCCGUAACUAUAACGGUCCUAAGGUAGCGAAAUUCCUUGUCGGGUAAGUUCCGACCUGCACGAAUGGCGUAACGACUUCUCCGGUGUCUCAACCAAAUGCCUCGCGAAAUUGAAUUCUCGGUGAAAAUGCCGAGUACCCGCAGAAAGACGGAAAGACCCCGUGAACCUUUACUGUAGCUUGGCAGUGAUUUUAGAGUUGGCAUGUGUAGGAUAGGUGGGAGACUUUGAAGCCAGGGCGCUAGCUCUGGUGGAGUCAACCUUGAAAUACCACCCUUGGCAACUUUGAAAUCUAACCUGCUCCUCGAAACGAGGAGAGGGACACUGUCUGGUGGGCAGUUUGACUGGGGCGGUCGCCUCCCAAAAAGUAACGGAGGCGCGCGAUGGUCCCCUCAGCCUGAUUGGAAACCAGGCGUCGAGUGCAUUGGCAUAAGGGGGCUUGACUGCGAGACCUACAAGUCGAGCAGGUGCGAAAGCAGGCCAAAGUGAUCCGGUGGUCCCGCGUGGAAGGGCCAUCGCUCAACGGAUAAAAGGUACUCCGGGGAUAACAGGCUUAUUCCAUCCAAGAGUCCAUAUCGACGAUGGAGUUUGGCACCUCGAUGUCGGCUCAUCACAUCCUGGGGCUGGAGCAGGUCCCAAGGGUUUAGCUGUUCGCUAAUUAAAGUGGUACGCGAGCUGGGUUCAGAACGUCGUGAGACAGUUUGGUCCUUAUCUUCUGUGGGCGUAUGAGAUUUGAGCAGACCUGUCCUUAGUACGAGAGGACCGGGAUGGACGAACCUCUGGUGUUCCUGUUGUCGCGCCAGCGGCAAUGCAGGGUAGCUAUGUUCGGAAUUGAUAACCGCUGAAAGCAUCUAAGCGGGAAGCAAACUGCGAGAUUAGAUCUCACUGGGGCUUCGGCCCCCUAAAGACUCCUUGGAGACUACGAGGUUGAUAGGCGGAAGGUGUAAGCGCUGUGAGGCGUUCAGCUGAUCCGUACUAAUAGGUCGUGAGGCUUUUUUAAAUUUU